This 235-nucleotide ribosomal RNA is filed under the name uncultured bacterium. Its description in RNAcentral is "partial 16S ribosomal RNA". It matches the Rfam family "Bacterial small subunit ribosomal RNA", at positions 29 to 240 of the family's 1533-position model. The record is from RNAcentral.
AAUGAACGCUGGCGGCGUGGUUAAGACAUGCAAGUCGAACGGUUUUCCUGAGUGUAGCAAUACAUCGGGAAAGCAGUGGCGAACGGGUGCGUAACACGUGAACAAUUUACCUCCAAGUGGGGAAUAGCUCGCCGAAAGGCGAAUUAAUACCGCAUACGGUAAUUUCUCGCAUGAGGAAAUUUCACCAAAGUCAGGGACCGCAAGGCCUGACGCUAGGAGAGGAGUUCGCGGCCUA